UAGUUUUUGGUGUAAGUGCACAGUAAAUUUUGAUUUUAUAGGAAAUAAUAAUAAAUUAUUAGAACUAA
RNAcentral lists this transfer RNA (68 nucleotides) under Ixodes vespertilionis. Its description in RNAcentral is "tRNA-Gln". RNAcentral also lists the same sequence under 1 other name. The record is from RNAcentral. Lineage: Eukaryota; Metazoa; Arthropoda; Arachnida; Ixodida; Ixodidae.